Molecule: ribosomal RNA, 301 nt
Filed under: uncultured bacterium
Lineage: Bacteria
Description: partial 16S ribosomal RNA
Rfam family: Bacterial small subunit ribosomal RNA
Source: RNAcentral
CAGUAGCCACGGUAAAACGAAGGGUGCAAGCGUUACUCGGAAUUACCGGGCGUAAAGCGUGCGUAGGUGGUGGUUUAAGUCCGUUGUGAAAGCCCUGGGCUCAACCUGGGAAUUGCAGUGGAUACUGGGUCACUAGAGUGUGGUAGAGGAUAGUGGAAUUUCCGGUGUAGCAGUGAAAUGCGUAGAGAUCGGAAGGAACAUCUGUGGCGAAGGCGACUAUCUGGGCCAACACUGACACUGAGGCACGAAAGCGUGGGGAGCAAACAGGAUUAGAUACCCCUGUAGUCCCUGUCUCUUAUAC